AUUCCCCGUUAAAACAAACGGGCGCACGUGUUGCGCAAUUGACGGUACCCUGGGAAUAACCAUCGGCUAACUCCUUGCCAGCACCCCCGGUAAUACGGAGGAUGCAANCGUUAUCCGGAUUCAUUGGGUUUAANGGGUGCGUAGGCGGACUAUUAAUUCAUGGGUGAAAUCCUGCACCUUAMCUGCAAAAUUGCCAUUGAUACGGAUAUCCUUGAUUUUGGUUAAGGUAGGCGGAAUGUGUAAUGUACCGKUGAAAUGCUUAAAUAUUACACAAAACACCAWUUGCNUAGGCASCUUACUGASCCNACACUGACCCUAAGGCACAAAACCUUGGGGAUCAAACAGGAUUAAAUACCCUGGUAGACC
This 366-nucleotide ribosomal RNA is filed under the name uncultured bacterium. Its description in RNAcentral is "partial 16S ribosomal RNA". It matches the Rfam family "Bacterial small subunit ribosomal RNA", at positions 434 to 796 of the family's 1533-position model. The record is from RNAcentral.